RNAcentral lists this ribosomal RNA (1355 nucleotides) under uncultured bacterium. RNAcentral's name for it is "bacterial SSU rRNA". It matches the Rfam family "Bacterial small subunit ribosomal RNA", at positions 28 to 1381 of the family's 1533-position model. The record is from RNAcentral.
AUUGAACGCUGGCGGCAGGCUUAACACAUGCAAGUCGAACGAUGAUUAUCUAGCUUGCUAGAUAUGAUUAGUGGCGGACGGGUGAGUAACAUUUAGGAAUCUGCCUAGUAGUGGGGGAUAGCUCGGGGAAACUCGAAUUAAUACCGCAUACGACCUACGGGUGAAAGGGGGCGCAAGCUCUUGCUAUUAGAUGAGCCUAAAUCAGAUUAGCUAGUUGGUGGGGUAAAGGCCCACCAAGGCGACGAUCUGUAACUGGUCUGAGAGGAUGAUCAGUCACACCGGAACUGAGACACGGUCCGGACUCCUACGGGAGGCAGCAGUGGGGAAUAUUGGACAAUGGGGGCAACCCUGAUCCAGCCAUGCCGCGUGUGUGAAGAAGGCCUUUUGGUUGUAAAGCACUUUAAGCAGGGAGGAGAGGCUAAUGGUUAAUACCCAUUAGAUUAGACGUUACCUGCAGAAUAAGCACCGGCUAACUCUGUGCCAGCAGCCGCGGUAAUACAGAGGGUGCGAGCGUUAAUCGGAAUUACUGGGCGUAAAGCGAGUGUAGGUGGCUCAUUAAGUCACGUGUGAAAUCCCCGGGCUUAACCUGGGAACUGCAUGUGAUACUGGUGGUGCUAGAAUAUGUGAGAGGGAAGUAGAAUUCCAGGUGUAGCGGUGAAAUGCGUAGAGAUCUGGAGGAAUACCGAUGGCGAAGGCAGCUUCCUGGCAUAAUAUUGACACUGAGAUUCGAAAGCGUGGGUAGCAAACAGGAUUAGAUACCCUGGUAGUCCACGCCGUAAACGAUGUCUACUAGCCGUUGGGGUCCUUGAGACUUUAGUGGCGCAGUUAACGCGAUAAGUAGACCGCCUGGGGAGUACGGCCGCAAGGUUAAAACUCAAAUGAAUUGACGGGGGCCCGCACAAGCGGUGGAGCAUGUGGUUUAAUUCGAUGCAACGCGAAGAACCUUACCUGGUCUUGACAUAGUGAGAAUCCUGCAGAGAUGCGGGAGUGCCUUCGGGAAUUCACAUACAGGUGCUGCAUGGCUGUCGUCAGCUCGUGUCGUGAGAUGUUGGGUUAAGUCCCGCAACGAGCGCAACCCUUUUCCUUAUUUGCCAGCGGGUUAAGCCGGGAACUUUAAGGAUACUGCCAGUGACAAACUGGAGGAAGGCGGGGACGACGUCAAGUCAUCAUGGCCCUUACGACCAGGGCUACACACGUGCUACAAUGGUAGGUACAGAGGGUUGCUACACAGCGAUGUGAUGCUAAUCUCAAAAAGCCUAUCGUAGUCCGGAUUGGAGUCUGCAACUCGACUCCAUGAAGUCGGAAUCGCUAGUAAUCGCAGAUCAGAAUGCUGCGGUGAAUACGUUCCCGGGCCU